RNAcentral lists this long non-coding RNA (4072 nucleotides) under Podarcis lilfordi (Lilford's wall lizard). The record is from RNAcentral. Lineage: Eukaryota; Metazoa; Chordata; Lepidosauria; Squamata; Lacertidae.
GCUCUCAUAACACUGCUGAGCCUCACAGAUCUGCCACCCUGAUCUGAGGAGUCAUGUGUUUUUAAGUACUGUACUGAACCCAGUGUUCAAAAAUGCCCCGAGAAAUGACCUGUUUACUAAUUCAGAUUUGUUUGUGGACAGGCCAUUUUUAUUAUUUAUUUGCUUGCUUUUUUUUAUUACCUGAUCUUCAACGUAAUAUCCCCAGGAGGGUUACAAACCCACAACCAUAGUGGUUAAACAAUCAUUAUUCAUGCAAAUGUUAUGCCACACUUUGUGGCUCAUUUCCCCAUCUCUUUUCAAAUUGCAAAACAUCAAUUAGGGGGUGUUUGUUUGUGCAAGAACUCCAUAGUAACUUUAAGUGCAGAACUUUAAGUGGAUUUGCCAGUAUGUGAUAGAAUCACACCCCAAAACAGUGCCAGUCUGGAACAGCUAUUAGCCUCAUCAGAGCUUUUCUCCGCCAAAGCGGCAGGGAUGUGUGGACCAUUACCACCUGUCUCCUUUUGCUCAAAAAACUUUAUAAUUUCACCAGACUUUCUUGCUGUGACUUCCAUCCCUGCUCCCCCCUGCCCACACCACCACAGUACUGCAUCUGAGGUGUUUCAGGGAGGAGAAAAUGGGUUGCUGGACAACUGAGAUGCAAGUUGUCUUAUUGCAGAGUGAAAGAAAUUGGCACCACCACUGCUCAGCAUAAUUCCCUUUUCACUGCAGAGGUGGCAAACUUCCUUUUUGCUUGCUUCUCCCGAUGUCAAAAAAUACCCAGCAUUUUAAAUUUCUCCCAGGACUAGUUUUAGUUUUAUAAAAUUUAGCUUUGCUUUACAGUUAGCGAUGGCUUUCCGUAACUGCAAAUCUUUCUUCACUUGACUCUCUGCCUCUGCUUCUUUCUCAUUUCAAAAUGGCGGCUCCUAGCUCUUCAGCGGUCCCCGUUAAUGGACUGAGGGAGCAGGCCAGUUUUGCAUAAGGAGAGACUGCUACUGUCUGACAGCUAGAGGGUAGUCAUCCCACAUCUUGAAAAAAACUCAGCUAGAUGGCAGUGCCUCUCUGGCAGUCUGAAUGUGGAAGGAUGGAAGAAUAAGGAAAAGGAACCCUUCCUGUAGUAUUUCAGAUGCAAAGGUUCUCAUGAAAGAGGUUGUCAAAGGGUGGACACAGGGGCCAGUGACUCUCUCCUUCAGGUGGACAGAACUUGAUCCAGUCAGUCUUCAAGCAGACAACUUCAGCCUGAGGUCACAAUAGGCAACAGUUCUCCUUCAGCUGGGCAGCAUCAUCAUGAGGUAAUAAUGGCCAACUGUCUCACCUUCUGGCAGGUGGCAGGAGACUGCAAGUCUCUCAGCUUCAGGCUCGCAACAUCAGGAUGUGGCAAGGCCCAUGUUCAAUCUUUGGGCCAGGCCACAGGAGCACAAAGUUAUGGUGGCCAGUCUCUCUCCUUUAGGUAGGUGUAGAAAAAGAUAGGAAACUUUGGACAUGCAAAUUGUCCCAUAAUUUUGGGUUUCUUUAAAGCAGGUGGUGCUAAUGUAAGAAGUUUCUGUUCAGUUUGUUAGCAUCUUUUAGCACAUCUUUAAAGCCUGUACGGGAAUUGGGAUGGGGACCUUCUUGAACAGGAAAAAGAAAGAAAAGAAAAUCCUUGAUCAUGCAGGUUUGAAAAGUAGUAGUAGUUUCUCCUCCUCCUAUCUCAUCCAGAGUUUUGAACUGUGGCUGAAAUUCUGGGGAAUGGAGCAAUGGAGAACUUCUGAAACAACAGUGGGAUAUUAGCUCCGCCCAAGGCAUGAUGGAUAAUUGUCACACACAGGAGGAAUAAGGAUAUAGUUUAAAUGCUUCACCUAUAGCUUUAGAAAUAAUUUAAUAUGUCAAGAUGAAUGGAUGUUGUUAAUAUUGCAGUUGUUGUAUAAGGGAAUGUAAUUGAAGUGAAUAAAAUUUUGGAAUGCAGAAACAAAGUACAGUGGUACCUCGGGUUACAGACGCUUCAGGUUAUAUACGUUUCAGGUUACAGACUCCACUAACCCAGAAAUAGUACCUCAGGUUAAGAACUUUGCUUCAGGAUGAGACAGAAAUUGUGAAAUGGCUGCACAGCAGCGGGAGGCCCCAUUAGCUAAAGUGGUCUUCAGGUUAAGAACAGUUUCAGGUUAAGAAUGGACCUCUGGAACGAAUUAAGUAUGUAACCAGAGGUACCACUGUACGUAAAUAAUAAAACCAUCAAUUCUAGCAUGCGGGAGGCCACCUAAAUUUUAUAAUUCGGCAUUUGAAUGAUUGGGAUUAGUAAUUGUAUUCUAACUUGGCAUUGUUAUAAUGAGGCUACCAUUGGAUUAUUGUAAUUGGAAACUAAUAAAAAUUAUUGUUAAAAAAGAAAAGAAAUUCUGGGGGAUCUGGGAAUCUCAAUAACCUAUCCAUUCAUAUCCAUUUCAAAUCCAUUAACAAGCUUACUUUCUUCUAGGAUGUAUCUCAUAAAACUUGGUGUGUCAAGGCUACUUCCAUUACUGCUGCCCUGCCCUUUUUACUAUAUGAAAAUGACACAUUAGAUCAGAAAAUCUGUUUGCUUCCUUUCCAGAGCACAAUUCUUCCUGCCCGUAGUCUUCAGUGCUAAUACCCUUUUAAGUGGCUGAUUUUAAAUGCCUCAUAUGAUUGAAGCUUUCCAUUUUCCUUUAUGGAAAAUCAUUGCUAUAAUGAUCACAGGGCUGGGUUGUAUUAUUAUCCCAAAUAUUUCCAAGUUGUUGCCCUGCUCUUUCCCAAUAUAAUUUGGCUGUCUGUCUUUUCCCCCAGUUGCUUUCAUUUCCAGGAUUGUUUCCUGCGAAAUGUCCUGCUGUGAUGCAGGGCCAAAUUGCCUCUUUGUGGGUUCCUCUCCUGCUUUUUCAUUGCAAUCAUUUCUCUUUUGCAGAGCACUUAUGUAGCCUGGCCCUCCUGAGCAUAUUUGCUGGGAUGUUAAGUGCAACUGAGCUCAGCUGAACUAACUCACAUGAAAGUGUGCAUACGAUUGGAGCUAGAGGCAUCCCAAGAUCAGUGCUUUCGCAUUUAUCUAUAAAUGUAGCCUUGCUGCCUUCCUCUACAACAUGUGGCUUGGCUCACUUCCUUGAGUAGUAGUAGUAGUAGUAGUAGUAGUAGUAAUAAUAAUAAUAAUAAUAAUAAUAAUAAUAAUAAUAAUAAUAAAUUUAUUAUUUAUACCCCACCCAUCUGGCUGGGUUUCCUACAUAUGGAGCUUUUUUUUGUCUAAUGUUACUUUACUUGCCCAUGAAAGUUCAGGUAUUGAAUAAUGAGUAUAAAAACCUGUCUAAAAUGUAUAAAGUGUUGCUGGAGUGGCAUACAAAAGAUGAAGAGGUAAAAGUAGUAAUGAUACACUGGGCAAGAGACUUUGGUGACAAUAUACAGUAUGAUGAUUGGAUGAAAUUAUGGAAUGAAAGGCUAAAAUUUACGGCAUGUACUGCGUUGAAAGAAAAUGUAAUGAAAAUGUUUUACAGAUGGUAUAUAACGCCAGUUAAACUGGCCAAAAUGUAUAAAACAUGCAAUAAGUGUUGGAAAUAUAAAGAAAAAGAAGGUACUUUCUAUCAUAUGUGGUGGGAGUGUACAAAGGCGAAAGACUUCUGGGAAAUGAUAUACAAUGAAUUGAAAAAGAUGUUGAAAUAUGCGUUCGUUAAAAAACCAGAAGCCUUUCUAUUAGGAAUGGUAGGAAACGAAAUCAAUAAGAGAGACUGUAAACUGUUUCAAUAUGCAGUGACUGCCACAAGGAUACUUCUGGCUCAAAGAUGGAAACAGGAAGAAAUUCCAACAGUGGAAGAAUGGAGAAGGAAAUUGACUGAAUAUGCAGAAUUGGACAAAUUGACUGGGAAGAUUCGAUAUCAGAAAGACCAAAAGUUUAUCGAGGACUGGGGGAAAUUUACAGAAUAUCUGAAAAAUAUAUGUGAUGUACAGACAACGCUUGUUGGUUUUGAAGAGACUCUGUGAAAUAGUAAGAAAUACUGCAAAAAAGAGAGUAAGAGGAAAAGGAGUGGGGAAAGGCAAUAUUAUGUUUAGAAAUGCGUCAAUAAAUAGAAAUUUUUCGAAAGAUUGACAGAGAAACUGAGGGAAGUAAAAAAUUGAAGAAUGAGUG